Doryrhamphus excisus (bluestripe pipefish) is the source of this 207-nucleotide non-coding RNA. NCBI's taxonomy places the organism in Eukaryota, Metazoa, Chordata, Actinopteri, Syngnathiformes, Syngnathidae. The record is from RefSeq and is a predicted model, not a curated record.
GAAUCUUGUAUGUGUGUGUGUGCGCUGUGCUCUCGUUGCCGAAGUAGUCUUAAAAUAAAGUUGACGGGAAGCAGCAGGCAACCGUGUUUCUUUCUCUGCGGAAGUCUAGCCGCAUCUUACUAAGUGGAGAGAUAAGUUCCGGGGUUGGGAAGGAAAAGGAGUGACGGACAGGAAGUGACAGUAGGAAGUAUUGUUCUUUUAGACCUU